AGUGAACGCUGGCGGUAGGCCUAACACAUGCAAGUCGAACGGCAGCACAGUAAGAGCUUGCUCUUACGGGUGGCGAGUGGCGGACGGGUGAGGAAUACAUCGGAAUCUACUUUUUCGUGGGGGAUAACGUAGGGAAACUUACGCUAAUACCGCAUACGACCUACGGGUGAAAGCAGGGGAGCUUCGGACCUUGCGCGAUUGAAUGAGCCGAUGUCGGAUUAGCUAGUUGGCGGGGUAAAGGCCCACCAAGGCGACGAUCCGUAGCUGGUCUGAGAGGAUGAUCAGCCACACUGGAACUGAGACACGGUCCAGACUCCUACGGGAGGCAGCAGUGGGGAAUAUUGGACAAUGGGCGCAAGCCUGAUCCAGCCAUACCGCGUGAGUGAAGAAGGCCUUCGGGUUGUAAAGCCCUUUUGUUGGGAAAGAAAAGCAGCAGGUUAAUACCCCGCUGUUCUGACGGUACCCAAAGAAUAAGCAACGGCUAACUUCGUG
Molecule: ribosomal RNA, 492 nt
Filed under: uncultured bacterium
Lineage: Bacteria
Description: partial 16S ribosomal RNA
Rfam family: Bacterial small subunit ribosomal RNA
Source: RNAcentral